GAUGAACGCUGGCGGCGUGCCUAAUACAUGCAGGUCGAGCGAACAGAUGAGGAGCUUGCUCCUCUGACGUUAGCGGCGGACGGGUGAGUAACACGUGGAUAACCUACCUAUAAGACUGGGAUAACUUCGGGAAACCGGAGCUAAUACCGGAUAAUAUAUUGAACCGCAUGGUUCAAUAGUGAAAGACGGUUUUGCUGUCACUUAUAGAUGGAUCCGCGCCGCAUUAGCUAGUUGGUAAGGUAACGGCUUACCAAGGCAACGAUGCGUAGCCGACCUGAGAGGGUGAUCGGCCACACUGGAACUGAGACACGGUCCAGACUCCUACGGGAGGCAGCAGUAGGGAAUCUUCUGCAAUGGGCGAAAGCCUGACGGAGCAACGCCGCGUGAGUGAUGAAGGUCUUCGGAUCGUAAAACUCUGUUAUUAGGGAAGAACAAAUGUGUAAGUAACUAUGCACGUCUUGACGGUACCUAAUCAGAAAGCCACGGCUAACUACGUG
This 497-nucleotide ribosomal RNA is filed under the name uncultured bacterium. Its description in RNAcentral is "partial 16S ribosomal RNA". It matches the Rfam family "Bacterial small subunit ribosomal RNA", at positions 28 to 507 of the family's 1533-position model. The record is from RNAcentral.